RNAcentral lists this long non-coding RNA (250 nucleotides) under Elaeis guineensis (African oil palm). RNAcentral describes it as "long non-coding RNA (EGUI_LNC062241)". The record is from RNAcentral. Lineage: Eukaryota; Viridiplantae; Streptophyta; Magnoliopsida; Arecales; Arecaceae.
UGACAUAUUCGAUGGAGUCAUGGUACAUGGUAGGCCAGUAAUAGCCUUGUCAGAGCAACUUGUGGGAUAAAGAUCUGGUCUCCAGGUGAUUUCCGCAGACCCCCUCGUGUACCUCCCGCAAGGUGAAGUCAGCCUCAGAAGGUCGAAGACAUCUCAAAAGGGGUAGAGAGUACGACCUCUUGUACAGCUUGCCUUCAUAAAGAAUAUAUCGGGAGGCCUGGUUCCUAAGCUUCCAAGUUUCUUUUGCAUC